This 29-nucleotide ribosomal RNA is filed under the name uncultured Symbiodinium. Its description in RNAcentral is "partial Eukaryotic small subunit ribosomal RNA". Lineage: Eukaryota; Dinophyceae; Suessiales; Symbiodiniaceae. The record is from RNAcentral.
ACCUGGUUGAUCCUGCCAGUAGUCAUAUG